RNAcentral lists this ribosomal RNA (468 nucleotides) under uncultured bacterium. Its description in RNAcentral is "partial 16S ribosomal RNA". It matches the Rfam family "Bacterial small subunit ribosomal RNA", at positions 28 to 507 of the family's 1533-position model. The record is from RNAcentral.
GACGAACGCUGGCGGCGUGCUUAACACAUGCAAGUCGAACGGCAAGGCCCUGCUUUUGUGGGGUGCUCGAGUGGCGAACGGGUGAGUAACACGUGAGUAACCUGCCCUUGACUUUGGGAUAACUUCAGGAAACUGGGGCUAAUACCGGAUAGGAGCUCCUGCUGCAGGGUGGGGGUGGGAAAGUUUCGGCGGUUGGGGAUGGACGCGCGGCUUAUCAGCUCGUUGGUGGGGUAGUGGCUUACCAAGGCUUGGACGGGUAGCCGGCCUGGGAGGGUGGCCGGCCACAUUGGGACUGAGAUACGGCCCAGACUCCUACGUGAGGCAGCAGUGGGGAGUCUUGCACAGUGGGCGGAAGCCUGAUGCGGCGACGCCGCGUGCGGGAUGACGGCCUUCGGGUUGUAAACCGCUUUCGCCUGUGACGAAGCGUGAGUGACGGUAAUGGGUAAAGAAGCACCGGCUAACUACGUG